This 621-nucleotide unclassified non-coding RNA is filed under the name Hevea brasiliensis (rubber tree). The record is from RNAcentral. Lineage: Eukaryota; Viridiplantae; Streptophyta; Magnoliopsida; Malpighiales; Euphorbiaceae.
UUGAUCAGUAGGUCUAUAUAGAUUCAACUCUUGAAAUCACCAUCCCUUGUGCAUUUUUAACUAUAUAUUACAAUCUGUCGUCAACCUAUACAAAAAAGCCCCAUCCAUAUUCGUCCCUUAGCACACCAGAGUUUGAAAUUAUCAAAGGGAAAAAAGCAGCAACCAUCAAACCUCAUUUCAGAGAUUGUAACCUAGUCACUGAAUUUGGCAAAAGUUGGAUCUAUAUAGACCUACUGAUCAAAAGUAGUAAAGUACUGAUUUCUCAAACUUUGUCAGGGACGGACCAGACGUAGGUAUGUUGAGCUACUGCUAGUGCUUGCCUGCUGCCCAUAACUUAAAGUUGGAUGAAGGAGCUCUGCCUGCGGAAAUGAGCCAUUGGAUGGCACAUGCAGUAGCAGAUCCUGAUCCGAACUUUCAUCAACAUAAUGGAAAGAAUCCAACAUGAGGGAGCCACUAUCAGGAGGCAAGGCAAAUAGGCUUCUUGGACUAAAGCAAGAGCCAUCAUUGUCCAUGACUUCUUUGUUUUCAUACGUAGCCUUCAUGUUAAUCCUUUUGGGGCUCUUCAUCACCUUUACAUCUGGAAUUUUUUGACCCAAGCUGUCAUGUAAUCUCUUGGCAGCA